RNAcentral lists this ribosomal RNA (423 nucleotides) under uncultured Pseudomonas sp. RNAcentral's name for it is "bacterial SSU rRNA". It matches the Rfam family "Bacterial small subunit ribosomal RNA", at positions 33 to 475 of the family's 1533-position model. Lineage: Bacteria; Pseudomonadati; Pseudomonadota; Gammaproteobacteria; Pseudomonadales; Pseudomonadaceae. The record is from RNAcentral.
UACGCGUGCGGCAGCAUACACUAUACAAGUGAGCGGAUACGGGAGCUUGCUCCUUGAUUCAGCGGCGGUGAGUAAUGCCUAGGAAUCUGCCUGGUAGUGGGGGACAACGUUUCGAAAGGAACGCUAAUACCGCAUACGUCCUACGGGAGAAAGCAGGGGACCUUCGGGCCUUGCGCUAUCAGAUGAGCCUAGGUCGGAUUAGCUAGUUGGUGAGGUAAUGGCUCACCAAUGCGACGAUCCGUAACUGGUCUGAGAGGAUGAUCAGUCACACUGGAACUGAGACACGGUCCAGACUCCUACGGGAGGCAGCAGUGGGGAAUAUUGGACAAUGGGCGAAAGCCUGAUCCAGCCAUGCCGCGUGUGUGAGAAGUCUCGAUGUAAGCCUUAAGUUGGGAGGAGGGCGAAGCAUACUGCUGUUGACGU